Long non-coding RNA from Alligator mississippiensis (American alligator), 4177 nucleotides. RefSeq lists it as uncharacterized. The transcript has 3 exons. The record is from RefSeq and is a predicted model, not a curated record. NCBI's taxonomy places the organism in Eukaryota, Metazoa, Chordata, Crocodylia, Alligatoridae.
GUUGGUGCGCGGGAUAGCCCGUCCCCUUCCCCUUUCCCGCUCCCCCUCCCCCGCCCUGGCCCCGCUUCCCGCGCAGGUUGCCGGGCCGGGCCGGGCGGGGGCCCGAGCAGCACAGACAGACAGGCAGAGGGAGGGAGGCGGGGAGGGACAGGCUCAGCCCGAUCUUCAUGCCCCAGCAGGCAGCGGCAGCGGCAGCAGCAAAACUUCUGAAGGUUUGCAGAAGAUACAGAGAGAUAGUGAGAGAACCACCAAGAAGGCUAUAGCAAUAUUAGUAGUUGUAAGUAUCUGCUUUGAGGGAGGACUCCAGACCGUGGAUGCAAAGCUACCUCCUGUGAAGACUACAUAAAGGAAGCCAAGAGACAGCUCUCUGACACCACCUACUACAAAGAACUACAAGAAGAUCCUACUCCCCUUUUCACCAAAAAACUCAACAAUACCAUCAAAUCAUUUCCAUCAAGACUACAAGAAAAACUACAGACCUUGAUCCCCCCACUACCUAACCCGGGGACUUUUUACAUGCUCCCUAAAAUCCACAAACAAGGGAACCCUGGCAGACCUAUCAUAUCCAACCAUGGGACCCUGACUGAGGAAAUAUCGGGUUUCAUUGAAUCAAUUGUAAAACCGCUCGUCACCCACAGAGCAAAUUUUGUCCAAGACACUACAGACUUUCUAUGGAAACUUAAAAACACAGACCACCUUCCCAGCAACACGCUCCUAGCCACCAUGGAUGUUACCACCCUAUAUACCAACAUCCCACACCAGGAUGGCAUCCAAGCCUGCCUUACAUAUCUACAGGAACAAGAUUACAACCAAAGAUAUUACCGACCUUAUACACUUCAUCCUCAAACACAGCAAUUUCACUUUUAAUAAUCAACACUUCCUCCAGAUGAUGGGAACAGCUAUGGGCACUAAAAUGGCCCCACAGUAUGCCAACCUUUUUAUGAGCCACGUGGAAGAAGACUUCCUCAAGAACUGCACCACCAAACCCUAAACUAUACUUAAGAUAUAUCGAUGACAUCUUCAUCAUUUGGACUGAAAACCUACAAUCUCUGAUUGAGUUCCAUCAGAAAUGCAACAAUCACCAUCCCUCCAUCCAACUUUCUCUAGAAUACUCCAGCACCAGCAUCUCCUUUUUAGACACAAUGAUCAGUAUCCAGAAUGAUAAAAAUACAGACCACGUUAUACAAGAAACACACAGACCAACAUGCAUAUCUGCACAGAACCAGCAAUCACCCUAAAUACACCAAAAAAACUAUGAUAUACAGCCAAGCCCUCAGAUACCACUGCAUUUGCACUGAAGAGAACACCCGGGAUUGCCACCUCACCAAUCUUAAAAAGGCUUUCACCCAACAAGGACACUCCUCCAGAGAGAGAGAUCGCACGUUUGAAAGAGCCAUCCAGAUACCACGUGAAGAACUGCUGCAGUACAGAAGAAAACCCCCCACAAAUCGCACACCGCUGGUUAUGACAUAUCACCCCUCCCUUGAACCUGUACGGAAAAUCCUCAAACAAUUGCAACCCAUACUAGAAAGAGACCCUAUUCUUAAAAAUCUUCCCAGAGCCACCCAUCCUAGCCUUUAAACAAGCACCGAACCUCGCUAACCUCAUCACCAGAAGCAAAAUUCCUCAAGCCCAGAACACACCAAAAGGAUCCAGACCAUGCCAUGACAAGAAAUACAAAACCUGCCAACACAUUUCCACCACCCCCACUAUUACUACACCCCACAACAGAGCCAUCAGCAUCCCUGGAUCUUACAGCUGCACCUCCAGAAAGGUAAUAUAUCUCAUCCAAUGCACCAAAUGCCCUGAUGGAAAAUACUUAGAAGAGACCAAACAACAACUGCGCACCAGAAUGAACUCACGCCGGAAAUCUAUCAAAGACAGAAAUACCCAAUUACCUGUGGGGGUGCAUUUCUCACAAGAAAACCACUCUCUCUCCAAUCUCUUAGUCCUGAUCCUCAAAGGAAACUUACAAAACAUUUCCCAGAGAUGAGCCUAUGAACUCCACUUCAUCAACCUCCUGGAUACUAAAAAUCAUGGACUAAAUAUAGACAUUGGAUUUAUGACACAUUACAAUAUGCCUGACAUCUGACUCCCCAGGUAGCUCUCCAGUUUCAUCCCCCUUCUUUCUUUCCCCUCCCCUCCCCUCCCCCCCAGCCUGUGUCUCACCCAUUGACUCCUCAAUCUACAUUUUUGACUGGCUACCUGUCUUGUAUGCAUACCAGUCCAGCUGCUGGCUUCUUUACUUUUCAUUCCAUCCAGGAAGAGCACACACCAACUGCUGAAACUUUCUUAGCCUGAUAAAGGGUUUUUGAACCCGAAACCUUGCUUAAUAACUAUUCUCCAACCAUUUGGGUUGCUCUAAUAAAAGAUAUCAGAUUCACCCAAGGAACCUUGUCUGCCUAUGUCCUUAGACCAACACGGCUACAACCUACACCCCUGCAAGCUACCUCCUUGCACUUCUGCUCUACCAAAGAGAAGUGGGAAUCCAGACACCACUGUGCUUGGCAUGGUUUUUGUUGUUGUUGUUGUUAUUUUUGGGUUUUUUGGUUCUAAGUGCCAGACUCCGGGCUUUGCAUUCAACUCUGGGGCCUGGCACCUAAAAGUUAGGCAUUGCAGUGUUGAACUUGUAGGUAUUUUAAGCCUUAUUAGAGAGAGCUUGUAAUCUUUACUUAAAGAAACUAUUCCUAGUGACAGCAGUUUUCUUCAUGCUUGCUUGUUCCUUGGCAUUUUCUGAAAAAGCACAAGGAUGAAAAAUCACAUAAACAGUAACUGGAUGUUGAAACAGACAGAAAUAUGAGACCACAGCCAUAGGAAAUAGACUAUGAUAUCUUACCCUGCACUUCUAACUAAAAUGCAGCUUCUAGCUCCUGUCUAGAGAUUUGUCUGAAGCAUGCUGCUUCUGCUAGAGAAUUUCUGCAAGUAGCUUCUCACCUUGCACUACCUAUCUUCUGUCAGCUGGGUGACUUAGCCACCUAAAGCCUUAAAGACUUGUCUCACGCAGCUUGUGAAGUACUUAACCUUAUCCAGUGUUAUUGAUGUUGUAGCCAUGAUGGUCCAGGAAUUAUGUGAGAAGCAAGGAUUUCUUAAGUUGAUAUCUUUUUAUUGGACCAACUGCAUAGCUGGACCAACUGCAUAGCUUGGAUAGUUAGACAAGUUUUCAAAUGCAAGACAUUCUUCAUCAGGUCUUAAUCCAAAAAAAGAUAACACUUUAUGAAAUCCAUGUCUCUAACCUUGUCUACUUAUCUGUAUUCUUCUAUUUGGUUCUUGGGGAGCAUGAAUUAUAUUAUGCAGAUAACUUCCUUCCCACCAAUAUUAAUCUUUCUGUCAGGCCACCUGUUUGUAAUUUACAACUAGAUUUAAGAAAUAUUUACAUCUUUCAGACCUGUAGACUGCUGAUCCAAUUUUUUUCUCUAACAAUUAUUGAAGGAAGAUACAGUCUCAGUGUUUUUUCUUCAAGGGUUGCAAAUAUGUAUGGUGGGGGUGGGCAAAAUAUGGCCUGCAGGCCAGAUUUGGCCCACCAGGCACCAAGGUUCCCUCUAAGCCACUCACGUGCACGACUGAGCACAACUAAAAGUCUGGCCAUGCACAGCCUUUUCAAGGCCGCGAACCCAGAAGAAGAGCUGAAGGUAAGCUUCUAGGUGAGGUGGGGGUAGGAACCUGGCACGGGCUCUGCCAGUUCUGGGGAAGUGCUCCGCUCACCCGCUUCACCUUGGGGAGUGAGGAGGCACGUGGCAUCAGGACCGGAGAGUGGAGCACUUCCCUGGAGCUGGAGACUAAUCCAGUCUCUUUUUAUGACCAGGUUACAAAACCCCUGGACACAGGAGUAGGGGUGGAUGUCAUAUACUUAGACUUCAGGAAGGCCUUCGAUAUGGUAUCCCACCCCAUACUUGUGAACAAGUUAAGAGACUGUGACUUGGAUGACUACACAGUCCGGUGGGUGACGAAUUGGCUGGAGGGUCGCACCCAGAGAGUCGUGGUGGAUGGGUCGGUUUCGACCUGGAAGGGUGUGGGCAGUGGGGUCCCGCAGGGCUCGGUCCUUGGACCGAUACUCUUUAAUGUCUUCAUCAGCGACUUGGACGAGGGAGUGAAAUGUACUCUGUCCAAGUUUGCGGGUGACACAAAGCUAUGGGGAGAAGUGGACACGCCGGAGGGCAGGGAACAGCUGCAGGCAGAC